AGUUAAUGAGCUUGACAAAGCAAUUGUUUUGAAAACAUUAUAUAGAAAUUAAAAUUUUCUAUUAACUU
RNAcentral lists this transfer RNA (68 nucleotides) under Phlebotomus keshishiani. Its description in RNAcentral is "tRNA-Ser". It matches the Rfam family "tRNA". Rfam says of the family: Transfer RNA (tRNA) molecules are approximately 80 nucleotides in length. Their secondary structure includes four short double-helical elements and three loops (D, anti-codon, and T loops). The record is from RNAcentral. Lineage: Eukaryota; Metazoa; Arthropoda; Insecta; Diptera; Psychodidae.